RNAcentral lists this unclassified non-coding RNA (229 nucleotides) under uncultured fungus. RNAcentral's name for it is "sequence contains ITS1, 5.8S rRNA gene". The stretch from base 181 to 229 matches the Rfam family "5.8S ribosomal RNA", at positions 1 to 49 of the family's 154-position model. Lineage: Eukaryota; Fungi. The record is from RNAcentral.
UCUCCGUAGGUGAACCUGCGGAGGGAUCAUUACAAGUGACCCCGGUCUAACCACCGGGAUGUUCAUAACCCUUUGUUGUCCGACUCUGUUGCCUCCGGGGCGACCCUGCCUUCGGGCGGGGCCCCCGGUGGACCUAUCAACUCUGCAUCUUUGCGUCUGAGUAAAUAUUGAAUCAAUCAAAACUUUCAACAACGGAUCUCUUGGUUCUGGCAUCGAUGAAGAACGCAGC